Molecule: ribosomal RNA, 510 nt
Filed under: uncultured bacterium
Lineage: Bacteria
Description: partial 16S ribosomal RNA
Rfam family: Bacterial small subunit ribosomal RNA
Source: RNAcentral
GACGAACGCUGGCGGCGUGCUUAACACAUGCAAGUCGAACGAAGAGCGAUGGACGCUUGCUUCUAUCAAUCUUAGUGGCGAAUGGGUGAGUAACGCGUAAUCAACCUGCCCUUCAGAGUGGGACAACAGUUGGAAACGACUGCUAAUACCGCAUACGAUCUAAUCUCGGCAUCGAGGAUAGAUGAAAGGUGGCCUCUACAUGUAAGCUAUCACUGAAGGAGGGGAUUGCGUCUGAUUAGCUAGUUGGAGGGGUAACGGCCCACCAAGGCGAUGAUCAGUAGCCGGUCUGAGAGGAUGAACGGCCACAUUGGGACUGAGACACGGCCCAGACUCCUACGGGAGGCAGCAGUGGGGAAUCUUCCGCAAUGGACGAAAGUCUGACGGAGCAACGCCGCGUGAGUGAUGACGGCCUUCGGGUUGUAAAGCUCUGUUAAUCGGGACGAAAGGCCUUCUUGCGAAUAGUGAGAAGGAUUGACGGUACCGGAAGAGAAAGCCACGGCUAACUACGUG